This 27-nucleotide non-coding RNA is filed under the name Bombyx mori (domestic silkworm). The record is from RNAcentral. Lineage: Eukaryota; Metazoa; Arthropoda; Insecta; Lepidoptera; Bombycidae.
CCAGAACACGUCUGCCAGAGGUUGAGC